AACGAACGCUGGCGGCAGGCUUAACACAUGCAAGUCGAACGCUCCGCAAGGGGAGUGGCAGACGGGUGAGUAACGCGUGGGAACGUGCCCUAAGGUACGGAAUAACUUCGGGAAACUGAAGCUAACACCAUAUGUGACCGAGAGGUGAAAGUUUAUCGCCUUAGGAUCGGCCCGCGUCAGAUUAGCUAGUUGGUGGGGUAAUGGCCUACCAAGGCGACGAUCUGUAGCUGUUCUGAGAGGAAGAUCAGCCACACUGGGACUGAGACACGGCCCAGACUCCUACGGGAGGCAGCAGUGGGGAAUCUUGGACAAUGGGCGGAAGCCUGAUCCAGCCAUGCCGCGUGGAUGAUGAAGGCCUUAGGGUUGUAAAAUCCUUUCGCCGAGGACGAUAAUGACGGUACUCGGAGAAGAAGCUCCGGCUAACUUCGUGCCAGCAGCCGCCGUAA
This 446-nucleotide ribosomal RNA is filed under the name uncultured bacterium. Its description in RNAcentral is "partial 16S ribosomal RNA". It matches the Rfam family "Bacterial small subunit ribosomal RNA", at positions 29 to 523 of the family's 1533-position model. The record is from RNAcentral.